UUAACUUAGUGGCGAACGGGUGAGUAACGCGUGAGUAACCUGCCCUGGAGUGGGGGACAACAGUUGGAAACGACUGCUAAUACCGCAUAAGCCCACGACCCGGCAUCGGGUUGAGGGAAAAGGAUUUAUUCGCUUCAGGAUGGACUCGCGUCCAAUUAGCUAGUUGGUGAGGUAACGGCCCACCAAGGCGACGAUUGGUAGCCGGACUGAGAGGUUGAACGGCCACAUUGGGACUGAGACACGGCCCAGACUCCUACGGGAGGCAGCAGUGGGGGAUAUUGCACAAUGGGGGAAACCCUGAUGCAGCGACGCCGCGUGGAGGAAGAAGGUUUUCGGAUUGUAAACUCCUGUCGUUAGGGACGAUAAUGACGGUACCUAACAAGAAAGCACCGGCUAACUACGUGCCAGCAGCCGCGGUAAAACGUAGGGUGCAAGCGUUGUCCGGAAUUACUGGGUGUAAAGGGAGCGCAGGCGGACCGGCAAGUUGGAAGUGAAAUCCAUGGGCUCAACCCAUAAAUUGCUUUCAAAACUGCUGGCCUUGAGUAGUGCAGAGGUAGGUGGAAUUCCCGGUGUAGCGGUGGAAUGCGUAGAUAUCGGGAGGAACACCAGUGGCGAAGGCGACCUACUGGGCACCAACUGACGCUGAGGCUCGAAAGCAUGGGUAGCAAACAGGAUUAGAUACCCUGGUAGUCCAUGCCGUAAACGAUGAUUACUAGGUGUUGGAGGAUUGACCCCUUCAGUGCCGCAGUUAACACAAUAAGUAAUCCACCUGGGGAGUACGACCGCAAGGUUGAAACUCAAAGGAAUUGACGGGGGCCCGCACAAGCAGUGGAGUAUGUGGUUUAAUUCGAAGCAACGCGAAGAACCUUACCAGGUCUUGACAUCCGAUGCAUAGUGCAGAGAUGCAUGAAGUCCUUCGGGACAUCGAGACAGGUGGUGCAUGGUUGUCGUCAGCUCGUGUCGUGAGAUGUUGGGUUAAGUCCCGCAACGAGCGCAACCCUUAUUGCCAGUUACUACGCAAGAGGACUCUGGCGAGACUGCCGUUGACAAAACGGAGGAAGGUGGGGAUGACGUCAAAUCAUCAUGCCCUUUAUGACCUGGGCUACACACGUACUACAAUGGCGUUUAACAAAGAGAAGCAAGACCGCGAGGUGGAGCAAAACUCAAAAACAACGUCUCAGUUCAGAUUGCAGGCUGCAACUCGCCUGCAUGAAGUCGGAAUUGCUAGUAAUCGCGGAUCAGCAUGCCGCGGUGAAUACGUUCCCGGGCCUUGUACUCACCGCCCGUCA
RNAcentral lists this ribosomal RNA (1289 nucleotides) under uncultured bacterium. RNAcentral's name for it is "bacterial SSU rRNA". It matches the Rfam family "Bacterial small subunit ribosomal RNA", at positions 87 to 1399 of the family's 1533-position model. The record is from RNAcentral.